Pygocentrus nattereri (red-bellied piranha) is the source of this 329-nucleotide long non-coding RNA. RefSeq lists it as uncharacterized. The transcript has 3 exons. The record is from RefSeq and is a predicted model, not a curated record. NCBI's taxonomy places the organism in Eukaryota, Metazoa, Chordata, Actinopteri, Characiformes, Serrasalmidae.
GAGAAAAUUCCCAGAAUGCCCUGCGAAUCAUCAGCAAGAUGGUUGCACAAGCGACCAAAGAGACACAUAAAUGUGGUACGACUUACACCCUUUGCGGUUUCUUGCUCCUCAUAGGAUGCACUCCACUCAACGCUCGAGUUUAACAGAGAACUUGUAGAGAGGAGAAUUACCAUUAAAACUGCAGUUACUACGACAGAACACACUUGUGGGUGGAGCCUGGGAGAGGCCAGGCUGAUGAUGAUGGAAUGAGGCUCCCUCUCGGAGUACUGCACCUUCCGGACAGACAGGAGGGAGAGAGAAAGCACAGAGAGAAUAAACAGGUUCUCAGA